RNAcentral lists this ribosomal RNA (484 nucleotides) under uncultured bacterium. RNAcentral's name for it is "partial 16S ribosomal RNA". It matches the Rfam family "Bacterial small subunit ribosomal RNA", at positions 30 to 507 of the family's 1533-position model. The record is from RNAcentral.
AUUGAACGCUGGCGGAAUGCUUUACACAUGCAAGUCGAGCGGCAGCGCGGCCUUCGGGCUGGCGGCGAGCGGCGAACGGGUGAGUAAUGCAUCGGAACAUGCCCAGUCGUGGGGGAUAACACUUCGAAAGAAGUGCUAAUACCGCAUACGUCCUGAGGGGGAAAGCGGGGGAUCGCAAGACCUCGCGCGAUUGGAGUGGCCGAUGUCAGAUUAGCUAGUUGGUGGGGUAAAGGCCUACCAAGGCGACGAUCUGUAGCUGGUCUGAGAGGAUGAUCAGCCACACUGGGACUGAGACACGGCCCAGACUCCUACGGGAGGCAGCAGUGGGGAAUUUUGGACAAUGGGGGCAACCCUGAUCCAGCCAUUCCGCGUGAGUGAAGAAGGCCUUCGGGUUGUAAAGCUCUUUCGGCAGGAACGAAACGGUGGGCUCUAACAUAGUCCGCUAAUGACGGUACCUGAAGAAGAAGCAUCGGCUAACUACGUG